Molecule: RNA transcript, 1301 nt
Organism: Oreochromis niloticus (Nile tilapia)
Lineage: Eukaryota; Metazoa; Chordata; Actinopteri; Cichliformes; Cichlidae
Gene name: very long-chain acyl-CoA synthetase
Exons: 6
Source: RefSeq, a predicted model, not a curated record
GUGUGUUGGCCCAGGGUGAGAUCUAAAACCUGCAGGGACACCGGCCCUCGUGGACUGAGAUUGGGGACCCCUGCUCUAGAGGAUUUUGUAUUGAAGUCCCAAGAGGAGAAACUGGUCUGCUUGUGGCAAAGAUUGGAAAAAGAACACCCUUCAGUGGCUAUGCCAAGGAUAAGCAGCAGACAGACAAGAAGAAGCUAAGAGAUGUGUUCGAGAAGGGCGACAUGUACUUUAACAGUGGCGACCUUGUAAAGAUUGACGACGAGGGAUUCAUCUUCUUUCAAGACCGCAUUGGAGACACUUUCAGGUGGAAAGGAGAAAAUGUGGCAACCACAGAGGUGGCUGACCACCUGCUCACAGUUGACUUUAUUGAAGAGGCUAAUGUUUAUGGUGUGAAGGUGCCAGGACAUGAGGGAAGAAUUGGAAUGGCAGCACUGAAACUAAAAGAAAAUAUGGACUUUGAUGGCAAAGCUUUUUAUCAGCAUGUCAAAAACUACUUGCCCAGCUACGCGAGACCACGCUUCGUUCGCAUACAGGAUGCAUUGGUGGUGACUAGCACCUUUAAGCAGAUGAAGGCGAAGCUGGCAGAGGAAGGUUUUAACCCUGCUCUCAUCAAGGAUCCUCUGUUUUACCUGGAAGACAAUAAGGGCUACAUACCCAUGACUCAGGAGAUAUUCAACUGCAUUGAACAAGGAAGACUCAGGCUUUAAAUGAGUUCAGUGCUGAUAUUUUAUUGUCAGUCUCAAAAAGAUUAGUGUUGAUUUAUGACAAACAACCUUUACAUUGUGGAUAUACAAACAUACAAUGGCAUGCAUUUCAUUUUUUUAAUAUUUCAACUCAUUUUAGUCCAAAAUACUUUUAAAAAAAAAUGAUUUUUAUAUGAGUAAAUCCCAUAUCGCUGACACUGUUAUUUGGAGAUUAUCAGUUUGUCAAGAGGUGACUGUGUUGGUUGACUGUGUGCUGAAGCAAACUGCUUAUCAAUCAAUAGGUGAAUUAUUGUGUGGAUGUGAGGUACAUUUUGUGCUGGUUUUGGGCUCAUCAGAGGAGUGUAGGAGCAGUGGAAGUUUCCAGUGGCGUAGGAGGGGGGGCUGUGUUUGUUACAGCAGAGGAAGACAUACAGUUCACUCUUCUGCAGGUGGAGGGUGAGUGCUUUUGAGCUGCUGGAGAAACCUUCAGAGGGCAGCAGAGCUGGUGCCGACCACACUGCACCCACUGGUUACAGAAGCUGGGAAUAUAUGAAAGUAUUGUUGCAAAAUAUGAGAAGUUGUAGAAUAAAAAGGAACAAUAUGUAGAAAAAAUGUGAA